This 443-nucleotide ribosomal RNA is filed under the name uncultured bacterium. RNAcentral's name for it is "partial 16S ribosomal RNA". It matches the Rfam family "Bacterial small subunit ribosomal RNA", at positions 338 to 795 of the family's 1533-position model. The record is from RNAcentral.
CCUACGGGCGGCAGCAGUGGGGGAUAUUGGACAAUGGGGGAAACCCUGAUCCAGUGACGCCGCGUGAGUGAAGAAGUAUUUCGGUAUGUAAAGCUCUAUCAGCAGGGAAGAAAGAAAUGACGGUACAUGAGUAAGAAGCCCCGGCUAACUACGUGCCAGCAGCCGCGGUAAUACGUAGGGGGCAAGCGUUAUCCGGAAUUACUGGGUGUAAAGGGAGCGUAGACGGUAAUGCAAGUCUGGAGUGAAAGGCGGGGGCUCAACCCCCGGACUGCUCUGGAAACUGUGUAACUGGAGUGCAGGAGAGGCAGGCGGAAUUCCUAGUGUAGCGGUGAAAUGCGUAGAUAUUAGGAGGAACACCAGUGGCGAAGGCGGCCUGCUGGACUGUAACUGACGUUGAGGCUCGAAAGCGUGGGGAGCAAACAGGAUUAGAUACCCUAGUAGUC